CUUACACAUGCAAGUCGAACGAGAAGUCCUAAAGCUUGCUUUGGGAGUGUAGUGUGGCGAGCGGGUGAGUAACGCGUGGGUACUCUAUCCGUGAAUUCGGGAUAACUGACCGAACGGUGAUCUAAUACGGUGUAACAUCUCAUGUGCCUUGGCGGAUGCGAUCAAGUGCAGUCUCUACAUGUACGCUGUUGUUCGGGUAGGAGCCCGUAUACCAUUAGCUUGUUGGUGGGGUAAGAGCUUACCAGGGCGACGAUGGUUCUCUGGUCUGAGAGUGAUGAUCAGCCACACUGGAUCUGACACACGGUCCAGACUCCUACGGGAGGCAGCAGUGAGGAAUUUUGCGCAGUGGGGGAAACCCUGACGCAGCAACGCCGUGUGAGUGAAGAAGGCCUUCGGGUCGUAGCUCUCUGCCGAGUGGGAAGAACCUGUGGCAUGUUAAUGACAUGUCGCACUGACGGUACCAUUAGAGGACGCAGCGGCUAACUCUGUGCCAGGAGGCGGGGUAAUACGGAGGGUGCGAGCGUUAUUCGGAAUUAUUGGGUGUAAGGGGCGAAUAGGCGGCCUUGUAUGUCAUAUGUGAAAGCCCGGGGCUUAACCCCGGAAGUGCAUUUGACAGUACGGGGCUAGAGUAUGGGAGAGGGAAGUGGAAUUCCUGGUGUAGCGGUGAAGUG
This 671-nucleotide ribosomal RNA is filed under the name uncultured organism. Its description in RNAcentral is "bacterial SSU rRNA". It matches the Rfam family "Bacterial small subunit ribosomal RNA", at positions 48 to 688 of the family's 1533-position model. The record is from RNAcentral.